Zea mays is the source of this 410-nucleotide long non-coding RNA. RefSeq lists it as uncharacterized. Lineage: Eukaryota; Viridiplantae; Streptophyta; Magnoliopsida; Poales; Poaceae. The transcript has 4 exons. The record is from RefSeq and is a predicted model, not a curated record.
UGCAGCUAUGUUGCCCGGGCCAUCUAUUCCAGUGUUGUCACAGUGGAGCCAGUAAUGGUCCGAUUCUCUUUGAAGUCAAAUUCUUUUGGCCAGCAGUAAUGAUGAUUUCAGCUGCAUUUCAAGCUACUGCUUCCAUUAUCAAGGUUGAGUGUUCAUAGUAGGUUGUGGUGGGAUUUUCAUGUUAAUCCAGCUAUAUAGUUUUUUUUUUACUAUUACAGGAGUUUGUUUUCAUUAAUGGUGCAAAACGCCUUGAGGGAAAGAGGCCUGAUAUAUUUGUAGUCAACUCUUUUGGUUCUGGUUUCCAGGCACUUUUUAUUUUCCUACUCCUUCCAUUUCUCUCUAACUUGAAAGGGAUUCCUUUUGCUGAACUCCCUUCAUACCUAACCCAUGGUGUUGCAUGCUUUCUGAAU